CNUGCAAGUCGAACGGUAACAGGAGAGAGCUUGCUCUCUUGCUGACGAGUGGCGGACGGGUGAGUAAUACAUGGGAAUCUGCCCUGAGGUGGGGGAUAACCCGGGGAAACUCGGGCUAAUACCGCAUGAUCUCUUCGGAGCAAAGUGGGGGACCUUCGGGCCUCACGCCUUGGGAUGAGCCCAUGUCUGAUUAGCUAGUUGGUGGGGUAAAGGCCUACCAAGGCAACGAUCAGUAGCCGGCCUGAGAGGGUGUACGGCCACACUGGGACUGAGACACGGCCCAGACUCCUACGGGAGGCAGCAGUGGGGAAUAUUGGACAAUGGGGGCAACCCUGAUCCAGCAAUGCCGCGUGUGUGAAGAAGGCCUGCGGGUUGUAAAGCACUUUUAUCGGGGAAGAAUAGGUUGUCGUUAAUAGCGCCAACACUUGACAUUACCCGUUGAAUAAGCACCGGCUAACUCCGUGCCAGCAGCCGCGGUAAUACGGAGGGUGCGAGCGUUAAUCGGAAUUACUGGGCGUAAAGGGUGCGUNGGCGGAAGCUUAAGUCUGAUGUGAAAGCCCCGGGCUUAACCUGGGAAUGGCAUUGGAAACUGGGGUUUCUAGAGUGUGGUNANGAUAGUGGAAUUUCCCGUGUA
RNAcentral lists this ribosomal RNA (634 nucleotides) under uncultured bacterium. RNAcentral describes it as "bacterial SSU rRNA". It matches the Rfam family "Bacterial small subunit ribosomal RNA", at positions 54 to 677 of the family's 1533-position model. The record is from RNAcentral.